GAUGAACGCUGGCGGUAUGCCUAACACAUGCAAGUCGUACGAGAGUUUUUAACUCUAGUGGCGGACGGGUGAGUAACACGUGAGAAUUUACCUUUAGGAGGGGGGAUAACAAUUGGAAACGAAUGCUAAUACCCCAUAUGCUUUUGAGUGAAAUGGAUUUAUAAUUAUCCGCCUAAAGAAAAGCUCGCGGCUGAUUAGCUUGUUGGUAAGGUAAGAGCUUACCAAGGCGACGAUCAGUAUCUGGUUUGAGAGGACGAUCAGACACACUGGAACUGAGACACGGUCCAGACUCCUACGGGAGGCAGCAGUGGGGAAUUUUCCGCAAUGGGCGAAAGCCUGACGGAGCAAUACCGCGUGAGGGAAGACUGCCUAUGGGUUGUAAACCUCUUUUUUCAGGGAGGAAUAAAAUGACGUGUACCUGAAGAAUAAGCAUCGGCUAACUCCGUG
This 447-nucleotide ribosomal RNA is filed under the name uncultured bacterium. Its description in RNAcentral is "bacterial SSU rRNA". It matches the Rfam family "Bacterial small subunit ribosomal RNA", at positions 28 to 507 of the family's 1533-position model. The record is from RNAcentral.